This 81-nucleotide small RNA is filed under the name Flavobacterium cutihirudinis. RNAcentral describes it as "Flavo-1 RNA". It matches the Rfam family "Flavo-1 RNA". Lineage: Bacteria; Pseudomonadati; Bacteroidota; Flavobacteriia; Flavobacteriales; Flavobacteriaceae. The record is from RNAcentral.
GUUUAGCCCCGAUAGGAACGGCAUCCUUUUUUCUGGCUGGAAACAGACAGAAAAAAGAUAUAGUGGAUAGCGGGACAACUG